Long non-coding RNA from Folsomia candida, 517 nucleotides. RefSeq lists it as uncharacterized. The record is from RefSeq and is a predicted model, not a curated record. NCBI's taxonomy places the organism in Eukaryota, Metazoa, Arthropoda, Collembola, Entomobryomorpha, Isotomidae. The transcript is spliced from 2 exons.
AGCUAUUAGUACUCAUACGAUUUGUGUCUGUCGUAGUUACAGGGUCUUAUCACAGAAAUAUCUACAAUAUUAAGGAAAAAGUAAAAUAAAAACAUGUCAAUUAAAACUUCUGUAUUUUUUGCGUGUGUAGUAGGAAUCUUGAUGAUCCAAUUGCUCUUAGCAUCAGAUGUGUAUCAAGGAUUCAAUAUAGUUCCGUGCAAGAGCGUGGGAGGUGAGUGUACGUCCGUCGGCUCAUGCAAGGGUCCUGCUUUGUUUGAAAAUGCGACAGAUUGCAACCCACAGAAAAAUAAUCGGAGUUGUUGCGUUUAUCUUUUUGACUUUGUUCCAUCGGGAUCACCUCCAGCAUCGGGCUAAACUUAUGCAUCUACACACGUGCAUAUUAAAUGUAGUACAAAUAAUAAAUAUGUACCAAAGGUUUUGUUUCAAAUAAAGUAAAUUUCUGUAAAUUAAUGUAAAUUGUGCUAUGUAGUCGUACAGAAUGUCAGAAUUUGAUGUAUAAAUUUUACCGUAAAAUCUU